UACAGAGACUGCAAGCGUUAUUCGGAUUCACUGGGCGUAAAGGGUGCGCAGGCGGCCAAGUGUGUUAGGCGUGAAAGCCCGGGGCUUAACCUCGGAAUUGCACCUAAAACUACUUGGCUAGAGCAUUGGAGAGGGUAGCGGAAUUCACGGUGUAGCAGUGAAAUGCGUAGAUAUCUGGAGGAACACCGGUGGCGAAGGCGGCAUCCUGGACCGGUAUUGACGCUGAGGCGCGAAAGCCAGGGGAGCAAACGGG
This 253-nucleotide ribosomal RNA is filed under the name uncultured prokaryote. Its description in RNAcentral is "partial 16S ribosomal RNA". It matches the Rfam family "Bacterial small subunit ribosomal RNA", at positions 524 to 776 of the family's 1533-position model. The record is from RNAcentral.